AGUACAGAGGGUUGCCAAGCCGUAAGGUGGAGCUAAUCCCUUAAAGCUACUCUCAGUUCGGAUUGUAGGCUGAAACUCGCCUACAUGAAGCUGGAGUUACUAGUAAUCGCAGAUCAGAAUGCUGCGGUGAAUGCGUUCCCGGGGCUUGUACACACCGCCCGUCACACCACGGGAGUUGGAGACGCCCGAAGCCGAUUAUCUAACCUUUUGGAAGAAGUCGUCGAAGGUGGAAU
RNAcentral lists this ribosomal RNA (233 nucleotides) under Clostridioides difficile. RNAcentral's name for it is "partial 16S ribosomal RNA". It matches the Rfam family "Bacterial small subunit ribosomal RNA", at positions 1236 to 1468 of the family's 1533-position model. The record is from RNAcentral. Lineage: Bacteria; Bacillati; Bacillota; Clostridia; Peptostreptococcales; Peptostreptococcaceae.